CUGCCCAAUGGUUGUAUAGUAAAACUAAGGACUAACGUCCAAGGUGAAACCCAACUGAAUGGCCGCGGUAACUCUGACCGUGAUAAUGUAGCACAAUAAAUAGCCAAUUAAUUGUUGGCGGGUAUGAAUGGAAUCACGAGGGUCUUACUGUCUCAAGAGGAAAGCCGAUGAAAUUAUAGUUGUAGUGAAGAUACUACAUAAACAUUGUAAGACGAAAAGACCCUGUCGAGCUUUACUGGAUACCGAUAGUGUUAACUUAAAAUAAUCGAUACUAUGUAUCCUGAUUUUGAGUUAAUAAUUUUUGUUGGUAAGACAGUUUAGUUGGGGCGACUACCUUUGAUUAAGAAACGAAGGCAAGCUUAUGGUGUAUUUUAGUUAAUCUCAUUAGCCUGACAGUGAGGGGGACACCCCUAGCUGCCACAAGAAUGUGGGGCGAUAAUGACCCGAUAUGAUCAUCCAAAAUAAAUAUCGAAAGCGGAUAAAAGCUACCGCAGGGAUAACAGCGUAAUAUUGUCGGAGAGUUCUUAUCGAGGACAGUGUUUGCGACCUCGAUGUUGAAUUGCGGUGCCCUGGUGCUGUAGAAGGUACCUUAGGUUGGUCUGUUCGACCAUGAAAACCGUACAUGAUUUGAGUUCAGAGCGUGGUAACACAGCUCGGUUUCUAUCUACAAUGUUCAAUCCCAACUUUUCUGGGCUCUAGUACGCAAGGAAUGGGCUCAGCAAUGCUCGACUAUACUGGUCCCAUUGACGUAAUAAACUUCUGGCUGCUGCAAAGAAGGAAAACAAAAGGCUUAGGGAUUAAUAAGGUGCC
Molecule: ribosomal RNA, 810 nt
Filed under: Sarcophyton glaucum
Lineage: Eukaryota; Metazoa; Cnidaria; Anthozoa; Malacalcyonacea; Alcyoniidae
Description: partial large subunit ribosomal RNA
Rfam family: Bacterial large subunit ribosomal RNA
Source: RNAcentral